GUGCUCACUUCAGCAGCACAUAUACUAAAAUUGGAACGAUACAGAGAAGAUUAGCAAUGGCCCUGCACAAGGAUGACAGGCAAAUUCGUGAAGCAUUCCAUAUUUUU
RNAcentral lists this small nuclear RNA (107 nucleotides) under Castor canadensis (American beaver). The record is from RNAcentral. Lineage: Eukaryota; Metazoa; Chordata; Mammalia; Rodentia; Castoridae.